CACGUAGGCGGCUUCUUAAGUCAGGGGUGAAAUCCUGGAGCUCAACUCCAGAACUGCCUUUGAUACUGAGGAGCUCGAGUCCGGGAGAGGUGAGUGGAACUGCGAGUGUAGAGGUGAAAUUCGUAGAUAUUCGCAAGAACACCAGUGGCGAAGGCGGCUCACUGGCCCGGUACUGACGCUGAGGUGCGAAAGCGUGGGAGCAAACA
Molecule: ribosomal RNA, 206 nt
Filed under: uncultured bacterium
Lineage: Bacteria
Description: partial 16S ribosomal RNA
Rfam family: Bacterial small subunit ribosomal RNA
Source: RNAcentral